GCUGCGGGCUCCGGACUUUGACAUCCCCGAGUGCGAUCCCAGGUCAGGCGGGACUACCCGCUGAGUUUAAGCAUAUCAAUAAGCGGAGGAAAAGAAACUAACGAGGAUUCCCUUAGUAGCGGCGAGCGAAUCGGGAAGAGCCCAGCAUGAAAAUCGUCCGUCGUCGGCGGCCGAAUUGUAGUCUGGAGAAGCGUCCUCAGUGACGGACCGGACCCAAGUUCACUGGAAGGUGGCGCCGAGAGGGUGAGAGCCCC
This 254-nucleotide ribosomal RNA is filed under the name Henriettea squamulosa. Its description in RNAcentral is "partial 26S ribosomal RNA". The stretch from base 34 to 254 matches the Rfam family "Eukaryotic large subunit ribosomal RNA", at positions 1 to 222 of the family's 3401-position model. Lineage: Eukaryota; Viridiplantae; Streptophyta; Magnoliopsida; Myrtales; Melastomataceae. The record is from RNAcentral.